Molecule: non-coding RNA, 745 nt
Organism: Oryctolagus cuniculus (rabbit)
Lineage: Eukaryota; Metazoa; Chordata; Mammalia; Lagomorpha; Leporidae
Source: RefSeq, a predicted model, not a curated record
GCCAGGCUCUCAGCUCCCUGCCGCCUUAGUCACCACCAUCUGCCCUCUGACAGCUUCCCAGGUGAUGCUGGAGCUGCUGGCUUUGAGAAGCCACUAUGACAUCAUCAAAGUGACCUGCACACAAAGAGCUCCCUCCGACGUCACUGUCCUCAGCUCUGCUGCGUGUCACGGUGCCCCAGGGCAUGCACCCAGAAGCUCUGGCCACGGCUGGACUCAGGCAUCCACCGGAACUCUGUCUGUCCAAAUUCAGUGAUGUCCGUAGGGGCUCCAGGAGGGCAGAGACCACGCACCACUAAACAGUACCCAGUACUCGAGGUGUGCAGAACACAUGCAUGCUCCAUGCCUGAAUGACUAGCUGUGCUGAGGAUUCCUGCUCGCUUGACCCAAUCACCGAAACAGGUGUACCCUCAGAGCUGAGGGCAGGGAAGGAGGGAGUGUGGAGGUGGCAGAAGUGCUGAGUCAUAGGUGAGUCACGGCUGAGUCACAGCUGAGUCACGGCUGAGUCAUGGCUGAGUCACAGCUGAGUCAUAGGUGAGACACGGCUGAGUCAUGGCUGAGUCAUAGGUGAGUCACAGCUGAGUCAUGGCUGAGUCAUAACUGAGUCAUGGCUGAGUCAUAGGAGAGUCAUAGGUGAGUCACAGCUGAGUCACGGCUGAGUCAUGGCUGAGUCACAGCUGAGCCACGGCUGAGUCAUAGCUGAGUUAUGGCUGAGUCAUGGCUGAGUUAUGGCUGAAUCAUAGCUGAG